Cervus elaphus (red deer) is the source of this 332-nucleotide long non-coding RNA. RefSeq lists it as uncharacterized. NCBI's taxonomy places the organism in Eukaryota, Metazoa, Chordata, Mammalia, Artiodactyla, Cervidae. The record is from RefSeq and is a predicted model, not a curated record. The transcript is spliced from 3 exons.
CUUUGAGCUGUGUCUGUUAGAGGCAGUGGUGUGGUAGAAAAAGCGAAGUGGAAAAUACAGGCAAGUGGUUUAAGUCUCUGAGCUCCACUUCUCCUGAUCUGUGAAAGAAACCGGCCAUAUGCUGACCUCCGUCUGUGGAGAGGGUUCAGUGAGCUGCCAUGCUUCUGAGCUCUGCCGUGGCCACGAGAACGCGCCCGGUUUAGCCGACUGGAGGAUGAGAGACGUGUGGAGGAGAGCGAGUCCCUGCAGUGGUCCCUGGAGCCCAGCCUAAAUCACUCAGUGGGCAGCCAAACUCUAGGUAUGUUAGUGAGUCCAGCCGGGAUCAGCAGAAC